UACGUAGGGUGCAAGCGUUGUCCGGAAUUAUUGGGCGUAAAGAGCUCGUAGGCGGUUUGUCGCGUCUGCCGUGAAAGUCCGGGGCUCAACUCCGGAUCUGCGGUGGGUACGGGCAGACUAGAGUGAUGUAGGGGAGACUGGAAUUCCUGGUGUAGCGGUGAAAUGCGCAGAUAUCAGGAGGAACACCGGUGGCGAAGGCGGGUCUCUGGGCCGCAACUGACGCUGAGGAGCGAAAGCAUGGGGAGCGAACAGG
Molecule: ribosomal RNA, 253 nt
Filed under: uncultured bacterium
Lineage: Bacteria
Description: partial 16S ribosomal RNA
Rfam family: Bacterial small subunit ribosomal RNA
Source: RNAcentral